GUUCCACCUGUUAACUGUAUGCAUGUUUACAUGGGUAUCAUCAGUUAACUGUAUGCAUGUUUACAUGAGCUCAAUCUUUUAACUAUACAUGUUAACAGGAGUGUCAUCAGUUAACU
Haliotis rubra (blacklip abalone) is the source of this 116-nucleotide long non-coding RNA. RefSeq lists it as uncharacterized. NCBI's taxonomy places the organism in Eukaryota, Metazoa, Mollusca, Gastropoda, Lepetellida, Haliotidae. The transcript has 2 exons. The record is from RefSeq and is a predicted model, not a curated record.